GGGAUAUGAUGAGUGAUAAAUGCUCGCAAAAAAAAUAUGCGAGACGGGUGCCCGCCCAAAGCCUUUUACAACAAUUGGGUCACAGCCAAUCUGAUCCC
This is a small nucleolar RNA of Andrographis paniculata, 98 nucleotides long. RefSeq annotates it as small nucleolar RNA Z279/snoR105/snoR108. Lineage: Eukaryota; Viridiplantae; Streptophyta; Magnoliopsida; Lamiales; Acanthaceae. The transcript has a single exon. The record is from RefSeq and is a predicted model, not a curated record.